This 205-nucleotide long non-coding RNA is filed under the name Mytilus galloprovincialis (Mediterranean mussel). Lineage: Eukaryota; Metazoa; Mollusca; Bivalvia; Mytilida; Mytilidae. The record is from RNAcentral.
UGAAUAUUAUUAUAGAUAAAGAUAAAUUGUAAACAGCAAAAAUGAUCAGCAAAGUAAGAUCUACAAAUAAGUCAAUUUGACCAAAAUUGUCAAUUGACCCCUUAAGGAGUUAUUGCCCUUUAAAGUCUUUUUUUCACAAUUUGUUCAUCAUGUUGACUUACUUUUAAAAAUCUUCUCCUUUGAAACUGCUGUAUCAAUUUCAGCC